UGGGGAAUAUUGCACAAUGGGCGAAAGCCUGAUGCAGCCAUGCCGCGUGUAUGAAGAAGGCCUUCGGGUUGUAAAGUACUUUCAGCGGGGAGGAAGGUGUUGAGGCUAAUAACCUCAGCAAUUGACGUUACCCGCAGAAGAAGCACCGGCUAACUCCGUGCCAGCAGCCGCGGUAAUACGGAGGGUGCAAGCGUUAAUCGGAAUUACUGGGCGUAAAGCGCACGCAGGCGGUCUGUCAAGUCGGAUGUGAAAUCCCCGGGCUCAACCUGGGAACUGCAUUCGAAACUGGCAGGCUAGAGUCUUGUAGAGGGGGGUAGAAUUCCAGGUGUAGCGGUGAAAUGCGUAGAGAUCUGGAGGAAUACCGGUGGCGAAGGCGGCCCCCUGGACAAAGACUGACGCUCAGGUGCGAAAGCGUGGGGAGCAAACA
Molecule: ribosomal RNA, 427 nt
Filed under: uncultured bacterium
Lineage: Bacteria
Description: partial 16S ribosomal RNA
Rfam family: Bacterial small subunit ribosomal RNA
Source: RNAcentral